This 30987-nucleotide long non-coding RNA is filed under the name Ananas comosus (pineapple). RNAcentral describes it as "long non-coding RNA (ACOM_LNC004577)". Lineage: Eukaryota; Viridiplantae; Streptophyta; Magnoliopsida; Poales; Bromeliaceae. The record is from RNAcentral.
CUCAUCCAAAAGGCAGUUCCUUACAAUAAUCUUUGAAUGAAGGAGGUAGCUCGCUAUCUCGUUCUUAAAAAAGAACAAUCUCCAGAAAAUUUAUCAUUUAUACAGCUUUGACUCUAAAGUCCUGUUUGGUUCGAAGUAUAAGCGAAGAUAACAAAAGUUAUUCCUGCUAUUCUGCCAAAAAUGAUGAUUUUUAGCUUGAAUAUUUUAGCCCGGUCAAACCAUGUUAUUUCCGGCUAUUCCGGAAUAGCUUGAGAUUUGCUAUUCCACCAUUUUGAUAGAAUAGUGCUAUUCUAAUAUUUAAUUUCAAACUUUAUUAAAAUUAUAAAUUGAAUUAAAUCUAAAUUAUAUAAAUAUAAUAUAUUAUAUAUUAUAAUAUAUUAUUCUUAUUAUAAAAUUAUCAAUUGUACUAUAUUAAUACAUAUUAUUUUAAUUUAAAUAUUAUUUUAAGUCUAAUUAAAUUGAAAAUUUUAAUUUUAAGUUCUUUUGAUAGCAAAGUGUAUAAUAUCAAAGUAUUAUAACAUUUAAUUUAAAAAUAAUUAAAUAAUUUAUGUUGCAUUUUGUAAUGUAGAUAAAAUUUUAACAUUGAAAAAUAAUUUAUGAAUAUGAAAAUAACGGUACGUAUAAAAAAUGGAUUAAUUUCAUAUACAUUCCUAUAAACAUAAUGAAUUACAAAUAUAUCCUACAAAGAUCAAUUUUUAUAUGUUGUCCGUACAAAAGUUAACCAUAGAUUAAAUACUUAAUCCUAAUUAGUUAAUGAGGUAAAAUUGAUAUUUUUACCCUUUUUUAAUUAAUAGUUGAUACUUUGGGAGGGAUAUAUUUGUGAUGGUGAAAAGAUCAUUUUACUUAUAAAAUAAACGAUGUUUUAACCGUAAGAAACUAGAAUAACAUAUUUGAAAAUAUUAUAAUUUUUUAGAAAUAAUAUAUAAAAAUUAAAUUUUAUAAUGAUCUAUUUGUAAUUUAUUAUAUUUGUAAGGGCGAGUAUGAAAUUAAUCCUAGCUUAAUAAGUUUGGUGCAUCCAUGUCACGGUCUCAAUCAGAUACCGUUGAUUUGACUUGCGCUUGGACCGUGUCAUACGUAAACUUUGACCGGUUUGCGACCUUCGGUGUGGUAACGCUGAUUUUAUUUUAUUUUUUAUUUUAUUAUAUCACUAUCGUAGAGAAUGACAUGUGAGGCCCGAACGAGUCGCACUCACCAGGUUUAGUUUUUUUUUUUUUUUUUUAAAGAAAAAAGGUUUUUUAUUAGAGGAUUUUUGGGGAUUUUGUGGGACAAUAUAAUAAGAGAAGCGAAAGGGAGAAAAAGUGGGCCCCUUUUCGGCCCCUCACGAGUCAAAGUACUUAAUUGCAAAAUCCAUGCUUUCUUGGGCUCUUCAAAUUCUCGGUCUCAACUCCCAAAGACACCAAUUAUCAUUUAAUUUUUUUUAUUUUUACCAGGCAAAACUUUAAGAAAUGUACAGUUAAAAAAAUAAUGAUCUUCUAAAAUUAAGUAAAUAAUUAGUUGAAUAGUAUAAUUUAACGAAUACAAAUAAUUAAAGAAUAAAUCUAAAAAUGCAAAAAAUUGAGUAGUAUUAAGCGCUAAAUGCUAUUAGAAGCAAUAUAGUCGGACUCUAUAUAUAAAAUUGGGGCAAUUUCAUAGAUACCCCUUCCAAAGCUUAAAAUAUCAUGUAUGCCAUUCUAAAGUUUAAAAUAUCACAUAUACCCCUGUAAACAUCGAAAAUUAAUAUCAAUACCCCUACUAUUAGUUGUUUUAAUUUUACCAUAGUUAUUAAAUGAUUAAAGAUGGGUUAACUUUUAAUAUGACCAGUUUACCCUCAGCUCCCUUAAGUAAAAAUGUAUGGAGACCCCCUCAACUAUAUGUCCUUUUAAAACAGCUUUCUCAACUUUUAUAUUUUAGUUGACAUUCCAUUAAUUUUUAGUUUUUAAAAUAUUAACUAAUUUUAGUACAUGGAAAAUGAGAAUUUUGUCAAGUUUUUUUUGAUGAUUUCACUAAAUUUAGUGGCGCUAUUUAUAUUUUUAGCAAAUAAAUAACUAUGUAUAAAAAUUUAAAUAAAAAACAAAGUUGAGGAUUUUUUUCGAUCUUUCUUUAAUCUUGGAAGCUUCCAAAAUAUUUUAACCAAAAUUAUUCACGAUAAUUUUAUCUGUAUUAAAUGCAUUAAAAAACUGAAAUAUAAUAUAUUUUAGCUUUUGAACAAAACUCUCUCUCUUUUUUUUCAAUCGACAAAAAAAAUGCAUGCAUAUAGUUUUGUGAUUUAUUUUUUGCUUAAGAUAGAAAAAAAUUAAAUCUACCAUUUAUUUUAAAAUUACUAUUACUUGAUUAGGAAUGCGAAUUGAUAUAGGUAUAUCUGAAUCAAUUUUGAAUGGAUACUUAAUUGAUGCUGAGUAGAGAUAGUUUCAGUUAUAAGUGCAAAAAAAAAAGUCUCAUUAUAUUCUAAUUCAAUUAUGAUUGAUCUAUAAUCCAAACUUAACUUGAACUGAAAUCCGAAGUCAAAAACAAAACCAAAUUAUAUAAAACAUAUUAUAUAUAAAAUAUAUUUUUUAUAUAUUUUUAAUAAAUAAUAUAUAUUAAUAAUUUAGUUUAAUAUUAAUAUAUUAAAUUAUCAAAUUUACAUUUAUUGAAAUACCUAUUAGUAAUUUAACUAUGAUAAGAAAUAAAGGGUAAAAAUGCAUUUUAAAAUUUAACCCAUUUUCAUAUGAGUACUACGGACUUUAACUUAGUGGAGGGUAUGUAUGAUAAUUUUUUUAUUAUUGGAGGGUAUUUAUGUAUAUUAUCACAUUUUAGAAGAUAUUGAUGAAUUAAUGGUUUCCAUAAGGAUCUAUGAAAUUAUCCCUUAAUAAAUUCAAACCAGUAUACUUUAAUAGUUUUAUUAUCUAAUUUUUUAUUCUUGAAUUAUUACUAUGUUACGCGACCAACUACUAAACUAGGCAUCCAAUAAUCACAAAGAUGAUAAAACAUUAUAUUAAUAAUAUUUCAGGACAGUUCUAUAUAAUAUAUAUAUAUAUAUAUAUAUAUAUAUAUAUAUAAAAUUCAGCUACUAUCUUUUUAAGAAGACGGAUGACUCUAUCUUUCUAAAUCAUUAUAGAUGAUACAAAUUUCGAAUUGAUGAUCGAACCAUUAAAGUUGAUCUAAAAUAUUUGAAAUGUCUAUAAACUAAAUUUUAUAAAUUUUAAAAAUUAUCUUCGUAGUGAUCAAAGGAUCACAAAAUCGAUAAUUUUUAACGGCUUAUAUCAGCAUUUACUUAUUUAAUGGUGUAAAACAAUCCAAAUGACUUGAAUUUUUUAUAGAUUUUUUUUUUAUUAUUUAGAUAAUAUUUGAUAACUAACUCCAGCCAUGAAUUGCAAAAGUCUAAUAUCUAUUUUCACAAGCUUUGUUCAUUUUUUACCGUUCAUUUUUCAACUCUUUAAUGAAUUGGAUAACGAAUUUUAAAAUUUAUAAAAUUUAGUUUCUAAACGUUAUAAAUAUUCUAGAUAAACUUUAACUAUUUCGAUCAUUGAUUCAAAAUUUUAAUCAUCUAAAACGAUUUGGAAGGAUGAAAACUUUCAUCUUUCUUUAAAAAAAUAGUACUAGACACACACACUCUCUCUCUCUAUAUAUAUUAUAGAUAAUUAAUAUAUGAUUUUUUUUUUUUAGAGAUAGACAGCAUGCUAUCCAUUUUGUUUAUUUUAUGUAAAAAUAAACUUAGCUAGAAAUAUGAAUCAACUAGAAUUCACACUUGGGAUCUCGAAUAUCAACUACAGUAACCCGUGAGUUAUAUGUUGCAGUGAAAAAUUUGUGGUGUGUUUUACGAGGUGGGCCAUCUCAGGAAAGAGUUCCUUUUUAUGUGUCUUUGAGCUCUUCGAGAUGGCACGAGGCCCCGUCAGAGUUGAGCCCCAACCCCCUCUCUCUCUCUCUCUCUCUCUCUCUCUCUCUCUCUCUCUCUCUCUUAUAUUUAUACAUAUUUAUUUAUUUAAAAUAUAUAUGUAAAAAUUAUCUGAAAUAAAAAUUACUUACUAUACUGCUAAAUGAAGUAUUUUUUAGCGAGAAAAUUUUAUUCCGGUCAAAUUUUAUUGUUUCCUAUUAUUUUAGGAUAAAUUGGCGUAAAUGAUUUCACUCUUUGGAUGAAAUAGUAUUAUUUCAGAAUUUAAUUACAUGCUUUAUUAAAAUUAUAAAUUAAAUUAAAAUAAAUUAUAUAGACUUGACAUAUUACAUAUUAUAAUAAAUUAUUUUUAUUAUAAAAGUUAUUAAUUUGCACAGUAUUAAUGCAUAAUAGUUGUAUUCAAUUUAAAUUUUAGUAAUUCCUUAAAAAAAUUAUAAUAAAAUUAUUUUUAUAACCAAUACUUUUAUUAAAUUAUAAUUUAUAUUAAAAUCAAUAAUUAUUUUGUUUUACUAUUCUCUGCUAGUCUAUAAAAUUAACCAAGCGCACUUUUAAUUAUUUCUGAAAAUAGCGAUAUUAUAAACCAAAUAUAACUAUUUUUUUAUUCUUUACUCUUUCAAAAUAAUAAAUAAUUUUAAAAAUUAAAUAAAAUUAUAUUAAUCAUUUUAAUUCUCAAUAUUUAUUAUUUUCCAACCAAACGGAACCUAAAAAGGUCAGAAGAGAGAGAGAAAAUGAGGAGGAAGUUUACUAUAUCAUAAUUGCACCACAUCAGCAAUAACAAUACAAUUACAUAUUUUCUUUAAAAAAUAUAUAAUAAAAAUAUUUUUUUAUAAUUAUGAUGUGACAGAUUAACUCAAAAAAGCUAUUUAAUUGGUUGAAAACAUCACAACAUCUUCUAUUAACCUAUAUAAAUUCCCAAUAAUUUUGCCACAUGGCAAGUUUUCCUCCAUCCUCACUAAUCCUUUUUUUUUGAAUUAAUCUUUAAUUUGGCUUUUCCCCUCCCCUCCUCUCUAUUCAAUAACCUAUAAUUAAUGUGCUUUUUAAUUUAUACGUUUAGUUUUUUCUCUUCAAUAUUAGUCAUUUACUCUUCCUCAAAUAAUUUCUAACAUGAAAAAUUAAAAAAGGAGAAGAUAAAUAGUUACUACAUUCAAAUCUAGAGAUUAGAGAAGAGUAAGGGAGUCCUCCAAGCCUUCGGAUUUAGGGGUAGGUUUGGGAAACGAAAAUCCUAAACCUAAUUUUUCUUUUCUUUAUUUUAAUCGCAAAUUCUUACUAAGUAUCAAUUUAGAAUUAAUUUAUUUACAUUAUUUUUUAUAUAGUGGUUGUAUCAAUCAAGGAUUUGAUUUAUGUGCAUUAUUUUGAUUAAUUUAGAUGUCAGUUUUAAUUUUAUAAUUGAUGUGGUAGUUCUAACCCGCAACUUCUGAUCAUUCCAUAUCCAAAAGAGUGCAAAAUCUUGCAAAUUUCUAUGAGAUUUUCAUCACCAUUGUCGUCAUUAUCGCAACAUUAUCAUCUCUAUCUUCAUACGACCUUUUGUAAGUUUUUUUAGUGAUGAUUCUAGACAUUUAUCGAUUUUCAAUGAUCAUAUUAGUUAGCUCAAUUCAUACAUUUUUCUAUCCAAAAAAUAAAACACACUUGAAAUUUUAUUUUCCAAACUCUUUUCUUCUUCCUCUUCAAUAUUUUUUAUUUUUUCUUCUAUUAUUUAUCCGCCGCAUCGCGCAGGUUACUACACUAGUAAAUAUAAUUAAGUGAUUCAUUUUAGAUUUUUUUUUUUUUUUUUAACAGAAGGAGAGCCAUGCCCUAAUGCUCCCAACGUGGUGAUAUUCAUUUCAAGAGUGCACGAGGGGCGCAUUCAAAGCUUUCCCAUGGAUUUUUCCUGCAUACAUAUAUGCCCCUAGUCUAUGUAGUCUCUGGAGAUGUAGUACACUAGUACUAUAUGAUACAGCGAAGGGAAAGCCAUGUUAAAAAAGCUUGGCCCCACAUGACCAAGACGAAGGGUUCAAUUAUAACUCCUUUUUUGGGGUUCUUCAUAAGGUACCCAAAACUAUAUAGAGAUAUCACUAAUUAAUAGUGAAUCACCUUGCAAAUUAAUUAAUUUGAGAUUUUUAAUUAAUUAAAGGUCCUCUAAUAUAAGAUAGUUAUACAUACACAUAGGUUGAAGAGGUUAGAACAACAGUGCUAUAGUUAUUUGUCAUAUAAUUAAUUUUUAUGUUAGCUCCUAGCUAGUGUAUAUAUGUCUUAGUAAAUUGCCAUUAGUUUUAUUAAAAAUGCAUUCACGCACACUUUUAGCUGGAAAUCGAAUUCAAACAUCGAAUUUCUUAGCUAGCGCGAGGGUACUGAUCACGUAACAACCGCGAUAAGCACUAACGGUAUUAUGAAAAUUUUGAGAAGUUAAUUAAUUAUAAACUACCAUUUAUUAUGUUUAUAAAAAGGCAUGAUACAUCAAUUGUAUUUGGAGAUACAUUUUGAGGUGCUCAUAGUAAGUUGGUGGGUGGAGACAUGUGGAUAUGCGCAUGGGAGCAAAUGUACUUAUGCUUCUCCAUGGUCUCUCGGAAGCUUUUGACUCACUUAUUGGCAUCGAUCUCCAUGCAAACACACACACACACACACACACACACACACACACACACACGCACACAUGUAUAUACAACACCCACCAAUUAAUUAAGUACUCUCACAUCCUCCUUGUUCCCUUUUCAAAACAUAUAUAUAACUUUUUUAUAAUCGGAGAUAUAUAAAAGAUGAAAAAAGAAUUAAUAAUUUUGAUUUGUGUACACUAUGAAAAGUAUAUAUUUUUAUCUAUAAGUUUAUGUUUUUGGGUUGAUUAGAAUCUUUCUUAAAAAAUAAUCUUUAUUAAUUGUUAAUUGCUUCUCACCUACUAAUUAACUAGCUAGAUUCUGAGCAAUUAAUUAAUUUUUUUUUUGUUAUUAAUAACAUGAUCCUUUUUAAAUGUGCGUCGUAUAUACUCUCCUUCGUAUAAAAUAAAGUUAAUUAAUAUACGCGUCUUCUACUUGCCAUAUUGGAUAUAUAUUUUAGGACCGCAUGAACAGCUCCAUGUGCCCAAGAUUAUGAACUCAACUUCAAGGCGAAGGCUUCGUUGUGGCUUUUCAUCUGAGGCCACAACUAAUUAAUUUACACUAUUAAUAUGUUCAUGCUACUAAUUGAUCGAGGCUAAACCUAUAGAUCAUGUGUGUGUGUGUGUAUAUAUAUAUAUAUAUAUAUAUAUAUAGAGCAGGACUGCUGUGCUUUCAGGAGCACGGAGGCUUCCGUGCUCCUGAGCCGUUUUCGAUAAUGGAAUUUUCGAAUCGACGAUCGGCUCCGUUAGACUUGAUCUAGCGCAUUUGAAGUUUCUAGAAAAUAAUUUUUGCGAUUUUUCGAUAUCAUUUACCUAGUGAUCGAAAGGAUUCAAAAUCCAUAAUUUUUAAUGGUUGAUAUCUGCCGUUUUUAAGUUUAACGGUGUAAAAGUAUUCAAAUCAGAUGAAAAUUUGAUAGAAAAUUCUUUAUACUAUCUACAACAAGAUCUAUAUUUACGAUCGAAAAUUUUAGUGCUAUAUCACCACUUUUUAUAGGAUUUUUAUUUUCAGCCAUUAAAUAUUAUUGAUUUUGAAUCCUUUCGAUUGCUAGGUAAAUGAUAUCGAAAAAUCGCAAAAAUUAUUUUCUAGAAACUUUAAAUAUGCUAGAUCAAGUUUAACGGAGCCGAUCGUCGAUUCGAAAACUCCAUCAUCGAAAACGGCUCAGGAGCACGGCUCCUGAGAGCACAGCAGCCCUACUCUAUAUAUAUAUAUAUAUAUAUAUAUAUAUAUAUAUAUAUAUAUAUAUAUAUAUAUAUAUAUAUAUAUAUAGGGUAAAUAGGACCACAUGCAAGAGAAUGGCCCUAUAACACUUGAAAGGGCUUUAUAGAUGGUUCACAACACCUUGGGUCGAGACCAUAAAUAUAUAUAUAUAUAUAUAUAUAUAUAUAUAUAUAUAUAUAUGCAACCAUGUACUUGUUACGUACAUAUAUAAUACAAGCUACAAAAUUGCACCCGAGCAAAUGUGUUAGCUUUAAUUAAUUAGGGUUUGUGAGAUGACGAGCUCAAAAGGGUUGUUUGCUUUCGAGUGAUUAUGACUUUAGGAUUCUCUAAAAUAGCUUUUAUUCUUCACACUCAAGGGAUGGAGAGGACCACCACCAACAUUGAAAUAAGAUGCACUUCCCUCUCUACUUGCAACAAGAAUAAAGCUUCAGGCACCCUUAGAAAAGAAUACUUUAAUGCAAAAUUAAAUAAUAAUUUUCCUACCAUUACUCGUAUUAAAUAAUUUGCUUGCUAAAUUGAAAAGGGCCAGCAUCCUGUCAUAUGGCGGAGGCCGAGAUGAUCGAGUUUAGUCACAGUAAAAGCUUGCGAACUGCACGGCGGAAACCAAGAUCGGCCGAGUCAUAAUCGAAAUCAGUUAAGGGAUGUACUUGUACACUUUAAGCUUGAGCUUUUGAAAUUAGUGGUUAGCACGAACAAUCUGAUACUAUUUUUGUAUUCGAUUUCAUUAGUACUAUUGCUAUGCUGUCAGAAGAAAAAAAAAAAAAAUUCUGUGGCAUCUUCGUCAUUCUCUUGUGUAGUAUCUUACGCCAUGAGGAAAUCAUCAUCUUAUUGAUCUCUGGGGCCCAAGAGAGAAGCAUAAAGGAAUUUGAAAAAAAAAAAGAAAAGAAAAAAGAACAAAAUGAGAUCAUUCGCUUAAGUUGCACAAAUAUAGUUUUGGUUUGCAUGUGGGAAACAUAUCCUUUGGUUCCUUUUGUUGUGGUAGCUAGUGGGUGUGAGAAGUUAUGGGCAUCUACAUAUAAGCAUGCUUUAAAUCAAGUAAAAGGAGUCCAACUAAGAGCUCAUUUUAGCUGGUUUUAAGUGUUUCUCAAUGAUUAGCCGUUAUGUCAUUAAUCAUUUAAUGAUCAAACUUUCCAUAUAUGUUAUCCACAAUUAGUUGGGUGUUAUAAUUAUAAUUAACUCCAUAUAUAGAAGCAUGUUGUGGGUGCAUGUCACUUUUUGAUAAGGAAAUUUUGCACCCGAACUUCCAAUGGUAGAUCAUAAAGUUUUCUUAUCUUAUAUCCAAAUUAAGAGUUUAAUUUAUGCGCUUUGCUUUUAGUUGAUUUAUGGAGCACCUCAUUAAAUUGCUAAGUUUGAUUCGAAUUCAACCCAACUAAUUAUUUGUUUUAGAUAUAUUACGAAAAUGUGAACAACUUAAGAAGUUACAUGCACGGUCCUUCAGUAAUAAUAUAGUAACGCUUAUAGCUUACUAUAUAUAUAUAUAUAUAUAUAUAUUGAUCANUAACUUAUACAGUGCCAAACCGCUAGGAUCCCAGUAAUAAUAUAGUAACGCUUAUAGCUUACUAUAUAUAUACAUAUAUAUAUAUAUUGAUCAUAUUCAUGUCCUCUAAGGAUCUAUUCUUAGCUUUAAAAGGAGUGCUACUAUUCUUAGGCCCAGGUAAGGCUCCAUUAAUGGAAGCUUAAGUGGUACUUACUUCACAUGUUGCCUUAUAUAGUGCUUGAGCUUUAUGCGUUGAUUAAUUAAAUUAAAUCAUGCAUAGGUUCUAGUAUUGUGAUCAACUGGCCCAUUGCACCAACAUUUAGCCUUUUACUCAAAGCGUUUACCUUCAUUAUUUUAUGGCCAAACCUAAUGUACUGUAGUUAAUAGGAGAACCUUCUAAUCAAGUACGAAAUGAUAAUAAAAUAUCACCGCAAACAAGUACGGAUGAACUAAUUUGCACGUUACAUAAGUUUGUAAAAAAUGUUUACAUGAUUAUUAGAGAUAUAAAUUCGACAGUACCAUUUGAUCGCAGGUGAUUGAAGGGCUAUGAGGGUGUGUCGGUUGGGUUUGUAAUGGGCCGUUAUUGGGCCAUUUGGGUUAUGCAUGUACUGGGCCUAAAGGACAGGACCAGGGGUGGCUCAGUGUCGAUAAAUGGACGGGCAUGAUUGAAAGGUAAGGAGACCCGCCCCAGUGUGAGCUAGAGCCUGUUGGGGAGUGGACCUGGAUUUUUUCUUUUUUAUUUUUUCUUUUUUUUUUUUAACGUGCAGAAUUUAUACGAGCGAUCUACUACUUUGAUUUGGCUAUUUAAUUUUUUAAAAUUUUAAUUUUACUAUCUAAUCUUAAAAAAAAAAAAAUUAUUUAAGUUAGCCAACGGCGCUUUGACUUCAAAAUUGAAUGUGUCGUUUACCUUUAUGGUUUUAGUUAGUAUACUUCGUGCGUUCCUCACUGUUAUAAAUUUAUUAAAAUAAGUAAUUAACUUGUUUUUAAUGUCAAGAUACUGUUUGCUGAUUCAAAUCAAAUAAAUUAAAAGAUUGAGUAAUAAAAUCAAAAUUUUAAAAAAUUAAACAGUUUUUUUUUUUGGAAAAAGAGAAAGGUAGCAUGCUACCUGCUCCGCUUAGGGUGUGUUUGGAUCCCUGUAAAACUACUCCGAAAAUUUCUUUCAGUUGAAAAAAAUUUUUCCGACGUUUGGUUGCCUGUAAAAAAAUUUUUUGGAAAACUUUUUUUUACAGAUUCUCUAAAAAACUCAAGUUUUCGUUUUUCGCCGGCCGUCCACGAAAAACGAAAACCCAUCGAUGAAAAGGCGCGGCUCAAGAGAGGUUUGAGCACACAGUCCACAAGGUCAUCCUCGCCUCGUGGACCGCGUGAGACGAUGGUGCACUCGUGAAAAUGAAAACCUAUUUUGAAAAAAGACGCGGCUCAAGAGGUUUGAGCACGCGGUCCACGAGGUCAUCCUCGCCUCGUGGACCGCAUGAAAGGGAGGUCUACAAUGGACCUCCUCUCAUUUUAUAUNNNNNNNNNNNNNNNNNNNNNNNNNNNNNNNNNNNNNNNNNNNNNNNNNNNNNNNNNNNNNNNNNNNNNNNNNNNNNNNNNNNNNNNNNNNNNNNNNNNNNNNNNNNNNNNNNNNNNNNNNNNNNNNNNNNNNNNNNNNNNNNNNNNNNNNNNNNNNNNNNNNNNNNNNNNNNNNNNNNNNNNNNNNNNNNNNNNNNNNNNNNNNNNNNNNNNNNNNNNNNNNNNNNNNNNNNNNNNNNNNNNNNNNNNNNNNNNNNNNNNNNNNNNNNNNNNNNNNNNNNNNNNNNNNNNNNNNNNNNNNNNNNNNNNNNNNNNNNNNNNNNNNNNNNNNNNNNNNNNNNNNNNNNNNNNNNNNNNNNNNNNNNNNNNNNNNNNNNNNNNNNNNNNNNNNNNNNNNNNNNNNNNNNNNNNNNNNNNNNNNNNNNNNNNNNNNNNNNNNNNNNNNNNNNNNNNNNNNNNNNNNNNNNNNNNNNNNNNNNNNNNNNNNNNNNNNNNNNNNNNNNNNNNNNNNNNNNNNNNNNNNNNNNNNNNNNNNNNNNNNNNNNNNNNNNNNNNNNNNNNNNNNNNNNNNNNNNNNNNNNNNNNNNNNNNNNNNNNNNNNNNNNNNNNNNNNNNNNNNNNNNNNNNNNNNNNNNNNNNNNNNNNNNNNNNNNNNNNNNNNNNNNNNNNNNNNNNNNNNNNNNNNNNNNNNNNNNNNNNNNNNNNNNNNNNNNNNNNNNNNNNNNNNNNNNNNNNNNNNNNNNNNNNNNNNNNNNNNNNNNNNNNNNNNNNNNNNNNNNNNNNNNNNNNNNNNNNNNNNNNNNNNNNNNNNNNNNNNNNNNNNNNNNNNNNNNNNNNNNNNNNNNNNNNNNNNNNNNNNNNNNNNNNNNNNNNNNNNNNNNNNNNNNNNNNNNNNNNNNNNNNNNNNNNNNNNNNNNNNNNNNNNNNNNNNNNNNNNNNNNNNNNNNNNNNNNNNNNNNNNNNNNNNNNNNNNNNNNNNNNNNNNNNNNNNNNNNNNNNNNNNNNNNNNNNNNNNNNNNNNNNNNNNNNNNNNNNNNNNNNNNNNNNNNNNNNNNNNNNNNNNNNNNNNNNNNNNNNNNNNNNNNNNNNNNNNNNNNNNNNNNNNNNNNNNNNNNNNNNNNNNNNNNNNNNNNNNNNNNNNNNNNNNNNNNNNNNNNNNNNNNNNNNNNNNNNNNNNNNNNNNNNNNNNNNNNNNNNNNNNNNNNNNNNNNNNNNNUAAUUAUUUAUUAAUAUUUCUAAAUAUAUAACUCUUAUAUAUUAUUAAUAUAUAUUUAUUAUAAUUUUAAAUAUAUUUAAUUUAUAUAUAUAAAUUAUAAUAAUAAUAUAUAUAGUAUAUUAAUUAUUAUAUAAUAAUAAUAUAUAAUAAAAAAAUAUUAAAAAGGUUUCUAUCUAUUUUUUUUUUCCUUUUAGCCAAACAACCAUCAUGUAAAACUUUUUUUUUUUCCUACAAACAAACACUAAACUACGUAAAUUUUUUUUCACUGAAAAUUUUUUCUACUGAAUUUUUUUUUUUUUCCAGUUUUACAUCGAUUCAAACAACCUCUUAGUGAAAUAUAAAGCAAUUAUGUUUCAAACUUGAAAUCUCAGUACGUGCGCUAGUGGUACGUAUAAUUUGUACCAAAUUGUACAUGUUGCAGAAAAAGCUAUCCUACUUUCUCUUUCACCAAUCACCACCGAUAAUCUAGUUCGUAAGUCGCAUCCCUAGCUAGGGAGGGAAAGAGGGGUGGGGUUUAGCCUCUCUCGGAUGCGUACCUGCAAGCAUUAAUUAAAAAUAAAAGAAGAGGAUAGUAAUCUAGUUGAAACUUGAUAGCUACCUCCCUUGCUAGGGACUAGGGAGAGUGUUUGGGAUUAAUCCUUCUUCCAUGCGCGUCUAAGCAUAAUAAAAACUAGUUAAGGAACCCCGGCUACGGAUUCAUUUAUCUUUUUUUAUAAAUAAUUAAUAAAUAAUUAAAUAUAUUUUUUAUAUAAUAAAUAACAAUAUAUUUUAGUUAAUUAAAUAAGAAAGUUUUAGAAAUAUUUCACAUGUGAUCAAUUAUAUCAGAUAUGUAAGUUUUGAUUGCAAAUAAUAAUGCUAAUCUUAACACCCGUUCGGUUUCAGAUUGUAAAUUCAUAAAUUUGUGGUUUAAUUAUAAUAAAACUUUAAAAUAUAUAAUUAUUUAUGCCUAAUUUUAAAAUAUUUUAGAUUAUAUGUAUUAAAUAUUAAUUUUAAUUUUAUAAUUAUUUAGAUAUAAAUAAUCCAUUUUUAAUAAUGGAAAACUGAGCUUUCCGUGCUCGACGCGUGGGAGAGGUGCGAGGGCGGAGGGGGCGAGGAGGCGGGCGGCGCGAGCCUGGUAGUGGGCGAGUGGCGCGCAGGGCGCGGGCCGCGGGGCGGGGGACGGGCGGCGCGCGCUGGUGGCGUGCAGGCUGUGGGCGCGAACGGGCGCGGAUGGGCGAGCCGCGCGCUGGCAUGGCGCGAGCGAAAAAAAAAAAAAAAAAAGAAAAGCUAGCAGGAAAAAAUCGGGGUCAAUUUCCCUUUUGCACGGGUCCACGAGUAAGCAUCACCUGUGGAAUCGCAUGGUUCACCUGCUCUCUCUCCCUUUUGAGAUUAUAUAUUAANNNNNNNNNNNNNNNNNNNNNNNNNCUUAUCAACAGACAGCAUAAAAAAAAAAAGAAAAAAAAUUCUGUUAUGAGUACCAUACAAUUUUGGAUGUGAUAUUAUUAUUUGUGUGAUCAAUAUAUGCAAAUAUAUUUUUGUUAUUUUGGGUUGUGGAUAUUUUGAACAUACUGUUUCAUUUCAUCAAAUAUAUUCAAUUUGUGGAAGUAAUUAAAAUUUAUUUAUUUUGAUUAUGAUGUCUAAAUGAUGAUCAAAUUUGGUUAGGUAAGUUUUAUAUAUUUUUUUGUUUAAUUUGUAUAUCUGUAGAAAAUGAUGGAAAAUUUAAUUUUUAAUGCUUAAUAAUUUUUAACUUAGAAUUGUUAUUUGUUGUAUUUCAUUAUAAUUUAUAUGCAAACAAAUAUUAAUUUUUAAAAUUUAUUUUAUAUAAUUAUACACUAUAUAUAAUUAUAUAAAUAAUAUAAUUAUAUUAAUUUUAUUUAUUAUAAUUUAUUAUCAUUAGUUAUAAAAUUGAGAAUUAUAUCACUUCGGAGGAAAUAUACAGAGGUGGAGAGGCUACACUUUUUUACGGGCUAUCUAUUUCUCCAAAUAAACAACAGAACGUAGCCAGAAAUGCCACUUUUACAGUAAGAACAAACAGGCAAAGUGAAUUAAAUUUCACCCCAAUUACUUCAAUCCAAAGUCCACUUCCACGCCAGUCUAUUUUAAUUAAAAAAACAUGCCUUAAAGGAUUGAAGGUUAAGUUGAACAGAAGCAAAAUAUCGUUAUAUAUUUUGAAUAUAUGUAAAAUUAAAUAAGAUAUUGAUAUUUUAUUUUAUAAUAUUUCAUUGAAAGUAUAAAAAUGUAAUUGUCAUGUUAAAAAAAUAGCUGUUUCAAAAAUUUUUCAUAAGUUUUGAUGGGAAUGUAUAUUACUUCAACUAAUGAGACUUAAUUUACAUCGAACAAAAUUGAAAUAUCAUUAAACUGAAUGGGAAGUAAAAUGAACAAUCAUAUGACAACAACAAAUAGAACAAGGAUACAAACAGGAUUAACGGAUUAUUUCAUUUUUUAUCAGAAAAAUUUAAUUUAAAUUAACAAACCAAGCUAGAUGUAAAUGUUUUUUUUGAAAUCAAAAUACUAUGAAUUUGGAUAUUUUAAGCUAAAAAUAAGUGAUUCAUCUUGAUCGAUAUUAAUCAAAUUUAAUGGUGUUUAUUGCAAUAAAGAGGGCUUAAAUAGUACCAUUGAAUUGUUGACGUCGGCUUUUAGUUGUAGUAAUAAAUUUUUAUGAUAUUAUGUUCAAAAAUUUGGUCCUAUUAUUAAGGUGGAAAUAUGUCUGGGCAUGUGAUUUAAUAAAGAAAUAUCAGUUUUUAUCUGCUAAAUUCUUUGAGCUGCCUUAAAGUUGAAAUUUUUUUGCCUCGGCACUCUUUUUUUUUUCUUUUAUUUUUUUGAGAGAGAUAGGUAGCACCGCUCCUGCUUCGUUUAUUUCAUUUUAGAAAUAAAAUUUAGCUAGAAAUGUGAAGAUCAACUAUGUAGAUUCGGACUUGAAUCUCAAAGUACAACCAAUCCUUUGAUCAUUCUCUAAGGAGAGGGAGCAGGGGUGCAUAUUAUGCUAGGGAGAUUUAGAGGCAAUCCCAAAUUUAUCUAUUUAUUGAAUGGCGAGACUAUAAAAUUCUAUUAGAAUGUUUGCAGAGUGCAAAGCAAACUAAACUCGAGUUCAAUUUGUUUUGAAGGCUAGAUCGUGACAAAUAGUUGGAAAAGAGUGCCAGAUUAAGUAGAUCUUAUGUAGGUUUGAUUUUAUGUGCUACUUGUUUGCUAGCUUUACUUUUUGUCUUGCCUUUGCUCUCUCUUCCUUUGCUGAUGCCUGUGGCUCAGUGAUAUAACUUUAGUUAAUCUUCCUGCUAUUAAAAGAUAGCAAGCUUCUUUUACACCAACAAAGAAAUAUAUUAUUUUGAUCAAUUGAAGGGCAAUUUACAAAAUUUGAUUAUUUAAAUUGCAUAAAGUUUUUUUAUAUAUUAUAAAAUUUCUAAAAUAAUAUAACACACAGAUAACAAGUUUUUUUUUUUUCUUUCUAAAAAUAAAAAUUAUCAGUAUAAAUAAUUCGAUUUGUAGGUGAUAAUGUGUACCAAAUUGGGCAUUUUAGUUUAAAUUAAAGAUAUAAAAUUAUUAAAAUUUAAUGAGGAUAGUGUAUGGUAGUGAUACGAUACACUGGAUGCCAGGGACGAAUUUUUUCAGAGUUUUUCGUGGGCUUACGGCGUACCAUAGUAUUGUUUACAACUCCUCCACCUUCAAAAACCAUCUCAAUGCUUCUUUUUACAUAAUACCUAAUUCACUCAUAUCUACAAUCGCAUUCCGAAAUCUCAUGCAACGAUCCAAUCAAGCGGCCAAGCAUCGCCGCAUAUUAAACAAUUACAGCCCCGUACAGACCAUCGUUCCACGUUACAGCUUUCGUUCACGAUUAUUAUAUAUUUACAGAUCUCGAGAAACUGCUGAUUUAAAAGUUUAGUACGAGUACAACGAAUAGAUCUCUUCCCUCUUUCUUUCGCUCUCUCUUUCUUCUUUUUUCGUGGCGUGCGUGAAUUCGCUGCUGGGGCGGAGGUGGGCGAGAAUCGAAGGCGAACGGUGGGAGAUGUGCUGCUUUUCCCGAGCCGAUCGUGUAUGCCUCUGCCUCCUCUUGUUGUCGGCAUCAUCCUCGUGGGCUUCGUUCUUCGGCUUGGGGUCGCUUAGCCAUGGCUUCCACACCCCCCCCUAGAUCAAGGGCACGGCGCUUCCACCUCGACCCCUCGCAUGGCCUCGCCACGCUUCCGGCCCCCAUGUAUCGUAAGGUACCCACCCUCCUUCCUCCCGAUCCGUGCUCAAUUUACUAAAUUUAGGGUUUCUGCUGCCGGGAAUUGGGGCGACGGGGGGCGGCGAAAUCUAGGGGUUUGGUUCCCGGAUUCGAGAUCUUGGGAAAUGUGGAGGGAUGAGAUGAGAGUUCUUUGGAUUUUUGAACAUUUUAAAAUUCGAAGACAAUUCCUCUUUUUUUACCAGUUAGUUUUUUAUAUUUGUAUAGUUUUGAUUUGGAUUUUUUUUCAGAUAUUUUGAAUUAAUUAAUUAAUUAAUAAAUAUAUUUUACUUGAUACGGUCACGGGUACCAAUCAAUUUGAAUUAUGAAUUUUGGCUUUUUUUUUUUGAAAAAAAGAGCAUUUAUUCUAUAUGGUACUUUUUGGCGUUCAUUAUUUAUGAAUUUUGGGUACCUUGGAAGCUGAAGAAGGUAGGGAGUGGUUUUGAAUCAUUGAGGUGAUAUUAUAAUUAAUUAUUUGAUUGAAAUACAUUUAAUGUUGCAUGUAGGGCCCAUUAUAUAUUAUGAAAUCACUGUUAGUUGGGAUUAAAGUUUUUCUUCGUUAUCUGCUUUUACGAUUUAAAAGAAUAAAAAUUAAAAAAUUUAUGGUAUGUGAGGAGGAAAGAUUAACAAUCUUUUAAAUCUUGUUGGAGUCUUUUAAACUAAAGUAAUAUUUUUAAGCUAUUGUUAUUACAGGCCAGGCAUAAGAGUAUAUAUACGCGGGCGCGAUGCAGCAGUUGCACUUGUAUUGCUGUUUGAUUAUUGGUUUCAAAAACGCUCUCACUCUACAGCAAUCAAAUUAACUUAGUUGGUAUUUACAAAAUUUUAAGUUUAAAGUCUUAGUUAUUUUAUUUUUUAUUAAAAUGUCUAACUUAGUAAUAUGUUGAAACAGUUAAGUAAAAGCAAGAAAGUAGAGCAAGGCUAUACAAUAAAUUAAUAUAAGGUUUAGGAGAGAAGAUGUUUUUUCGGUUGAUUCUCGUUCAAUCUCGAUUAAUGAUCUGCCUAGUUUGUAACGUCACGCAAGCAACAUAUGUUUGUUUUAAAAAAAAAAAAAAAAAAUAGUUUAACUACAAUCAUAUCAUAUGGUAGGGGUGAGUGGGAGUGGGCCGGACAGACAGAGUGGCGUGUCGGGUUCGCCAUCUCUGUUGAGGUCAUGCUGGGUCGGUUUCAGUUAGGUUUGUGUUUGGUCAUCGUAGUGGCAAGUUAAUGUAAACCCACUACUUUCAAUGCCUUUUUUUCUUUUUGUUUUUUUUUCGUUUGUCUGAAGAAAGAAAAAAUAUUUUAGGUUCUCUAUCAAUGAGUAGAGCUUGUUACGAGAACAAGAGUUUUUAGAAAAAAGGGUUGAACGUAUUUCUCUUUUUUUUUUUUUGAGAAGAAAAAUUAGCAUAUUACUUGUUAUCGUUUUUAAAAAAUAAAUUUAAUUUAAAUGUAAAUCAACCAUGAUUUAAAAUUGAGAUUUUCGGAUACAACCUCUAAAACUCUUUGCCACUUACAGGAGGAACAGCGAUAAAGGGGGUUGAAUAAUUUAAAACUCACGAAAACAAUGAAUAUGGUGCUAGUUGAGAGAGUAACUACUAGUUUUUUUUUUUAAGAAAAGUAAGUGUGCAUCACAGAUGUAAGAUUUCCUGGGGUGUUUGGCUUCAGUUUUAUCCUGCAUAUUAUAAGUAAUUCUAGUUCAAAAUGAUAUGCUUUGUGUUUGUUCGUCUGUAAUUGGGUCCGGUAGUGUAAUCUUAAAAUGAUACUAGUUACUGUAUAUUACAUUUAAAAAUUAUAAAUUUAUUCUCAAAUCUCUCUCUAAAUCUCUUCAAUAUGUCUUUUUGUAGAUGUCUUUAUAUUUAUGUCUUUUUGGUUAGGAUGACUAUAUUUUGUUUUUUGAGAGAGGGGAAAAAAAGGGUAGAAGGGUAGAUAUUUAUUUUUUAAAUUAUAAUUUAGCUAAAAUGGUGACAUAAUAAAUUCAAGUUUUGGACUUAGGUUGACAUCAUAAGUCAUUUGCCUACUUGCGCUAGUAACAGACUGUAUGAUGAUUUAUUUUAUUAUAUUUAAAAUUAUUAAAUUUUAUAAACCAAUUAAAUAUAGUAAUUUUAUUUUACAUCUCAAUCCAGUAUUGGAUAUUACUGCUUAAACCAAAGACUAUACUACAGUAUAAUAGUAAUUGAUUCAAAUUUUAGAUACUAUAAUUAUGCGAAAUAUUAUAAUGUUAUUACCACGCGAACAAAGCACUCUCCAGUAAUAAUAUUCUAUGGGUAUGGGGUUGGUUUUGUUCUCGUAAAACUGCAGAAAAAAAAAUUUUCGUGUAGAAAAAGUUUUCAGAGGAAAAUAAUUUUACGCUUUGUAUUGGUUUGGUAGGAAAAAAGUAAUUUUAUUUGGUUGUUGGUUGUUGAAGGAAAAGAAAGGAAAAAAGAAGAAAAAAUUAAUUAUAAAUAAAUAUUAUAUAAUUAUAUAUUUUUUUUUUUUAUAUUUAUUAUAUAUUAAUAUAUAAUUUAUAUUUGUAAAUAAAUAUAUUAAAAUAAUAUAUACAAUAAGUAAUAAUAUAAUAAUGGGGCAAUUUCAUGGAACCAUCCAAAGUUAUAAAAUAUAUAAUGCCCUAUAAAAAUUUAAAAAUAUCACCCAUUUCCUUUAAACACAAAAAUUAUAUCAAUACCACCUUAUAUUAGUUAUGUUAGCUUUACCAUAGAUAUUAAUGUUUAAAAUAAGGUUAAUUUUAAAUGACUUAUUUACCCUAAGUAUUUUCUUAAGUUAAAAUGUAUGGAGACCCCUCAACUAUAUGCCAUUUUCAAAUAUGGCUCUUAACUUUAUUUUUUUUUUUCAGUUUGAAUAUUCCCAUUAGCUUUUAGUUUUUUAAAAGAUAUAACUAAUUUCAGUGUAUGAAAAAUGAGAGUUUGUAGUUUUUUUGAUAAUUUUAACAAUUAGUGGCUUAUUUAUAUUUGUCGAAUAAAUAAUUAAUAUAUAAAAUUUAAUAAAAUAUGUUAUGGAAAUUAUCCGAUAUUUCUUUAAUGUUGAAGCUUAAAAUUUUUUUUAAUCAAAUAUUGGAUAAUUUUAUCUGCAUUAAAUCAAUUAAAAAACUAAUAUAAAUAUAUAUUUAGCUUUUUUGACAAAACUUCUUUUUGUUUCAAUCACGGAACAAUGCUUGAUAAUAGUUAUGGUGAUUUACUUUUGAUUAAAUAGGAAAAAAAAAAUCUUAUAAUUUAUUCAAAAUUACUAUUACUACUGAAACCUGACGAAAUUCCAAAACUUAAAAACAAAACAAAAUCAGAUAAAAACAUACUAUAUUAAUAAUAUAAUUUUUUAUAUUUUUUUAAUAAUUAAAUAUAUAUUAAUAAUUUAUUUUAAUAUGUAUAUAUUAAUAUACAUUCAAUUUAGAUUUACAAUAAUAUCUUGAAAAUACAUAUUAGUAUUCCUCUACUAUUAAUAAGGAAUAAAGGAGUAAGAAAAAUGGAUUUGAAAAUUUAAAUCUUUUCAGAUGGAUUAUUUAACGGAUUUUAACUGAUGAGGAGGAUUUAUGAUAUUUUAAAACAUAUUGGAGGGUGGGUAUUUGUGUUUAUCAAUUUUAAGAAGGGUAUUGGUGAAUUAAUAGAGUAUCUAGAAGGGAUCUAUGAAAUUAUUCUAUAAUAUAAUAGCGUAUAUAUUAAAUAUAUAUAUAAUAAUAUAUAUAUAUAUAAUAACUAUAAUAAAUUUGUAACAAUACUUAUAAAUAAUAUAUACAUAUAGAUUGAGCUAAAAUAUUUUAGAAUCGACCCAAAGACCCCUUAGUACUUCUAAGUUUUAAUCUAAGAUCCACUUUAAUUACUAAUACCUUAUUAGAUUCAAACACUAUUUCACCUCAUCACCGACCGCCCAUCAUCAACAUGCAAUCUUCCAUCAAUGAUUUAAAAAUCAAAAGCAACCAAUCUCUUAGUGACUUUUGAGAGUAUUCUAAAUAACUCUUUUCUCUUCUCUCUCAAUAUAUUAUAUAUAGAGGGGCAGAAAGAGAUGGUCCAUCUGGACUUCUCACAGCGGUCCACGGAGUGGGAGUGGACCUGUGGACUGCGCCUUUUUACUCCGCGCGAAGGCCGCAAAGCCGCGCACAAUGCGUCCAUAUGGACUUCCUAUGCAGUAAGACGUGGAGAGGACCUGGUGGACCGUUGCUUUUUCCCCGCGCGGCGCGUUACGCGCGCAACGCGUGCGUUUUCGUUUUCGCUAGUAUUCGAAUAAAAACGAAAAACCAUUAGCUUUUCCUAACGAAUCCGCUAAAAAAAAAUUUCCGGACGAAGCACCAAAACAUUUUUUUGAAUCUCACUUUCAACCGGAAAAAAAAUUUGUAGAGAGUUGAUUUUAGGAGGAACCAAUUCCGCCCUAUGCAGAUUCAGCGAAUUCGGAUAUGGGGCGCAAAAGGCUUUUUCCGGUGUACGUUAAAUUGAAAGUUUAAUUUGGAAAAUUAACUUCGGCAUUAAUUAAAAAAGCUACUGUCUAUACAAGAUACUAAAUUCAAAUGGCGGUCAGAGUCCUGUGUCGACCUUCAUCAAUUUAAUGGAGCGGCACGCGACAAAGCAUCUAGGUCAAACAAACAAGUCUCUGGAAUACUGCUUAUAGCAGGUUCGAGUAGUCAAAAGCGACAAGAGACAUUUUAAUUAAAUAUAAGAAAAUAGUAAAGCAUUAUUAUUAAAUAUUAUUAAUUAUUAUUAUUAUUAUUUAUUUAAUAAAACUUGGAUGAGAUUGGGAACUGAGCUUUCACUGGCUCGAACGGUGGCGACGGGUGCGAGAGCGCGGAGGCGGGCGAGCGAGGCGGGACGGCGCGAGCUGGUCUAUGGGGCGGAGUGCGCGCGCAGGGCGCGGGCUCGGGCGGCGGGGGACGGGCGGUCCUAGCGGCAUGGUGGCGUGCAGGCUGUGGGGCUGCGAACGGGCGCGGAUGGGGCGAGCCGCCGCUGGAUGGGCGCGAGCCGAAAAAAAAAAAAAAAAAAGAAAAGCUACAGUGCAAAAAUCGGGGUCAUUCCCUUUUUGCACGCGGUCACGAGGUGCAGCAUCACCUCGUGGUCGCAUGGUUCAUGCUCUCUCUCCCUCUUUGAGAUUAUAUAUUAUUAUAGAGAGAGAGGGAAAGAGAGUUAUGGCUGCUGUGCUCAUUAGAUCUUGAGCGUUUUUCGGAUUAUGAAAUUUUCGAGAUCAAAGUCUCGCUCGUUAGAUGUGAUAUAGGAUAUUUAAAGUUUAUAGAAAUAAUUUUUAUAAUUUUUUUUUGAUAUUAUUUAUACAUAUGAUCGCAAAGGGAUUUAAAAUUAAUAUUUUAAUAGUUGAUAUCUGCCGUUUUCAAGUUACGUUGUUUAGAAGUAGUUCAAAUCAAUAAAAUUUUGAUACAAAUUUUUUAUAUUAUUAGCAAUAAGAUCAAUAUUUCUGAUAGAAAAUAUUUAGUACUGAUAAAUUACAUUUUUAUAGGAUUUUUAUUUCUCGGCGAUUAACAAAUUAUUAAUUUGAGAUCUUUCGAUUGUUAAGGUAAUGUAUCGAAGAAUCGCAAAAAUUAUUUUCUACAAACUUCAAAUAACGCUAAUCCAGUCUAACGGAGCCGAUCGUCGAUCAGAAAUUCGUACUAAUUCGAAAACGGAUGGAGCACGAAGGCUCGUGCCUCCUGAAAGCACAACAGUUUGCUAAUAUAUAUAUAUAUAUUAUAUAUAUACUAUUUAUAUAUAUUUUUAAAUAUUAAUUAUAUAUACUAACUUUAAUAUUUUUAUUAUCUUAAAUAUUAAUAAUUUAUUUUGGAAUCAACAAAGAUAGUAUUUUACUUUAAUUAAUUUUUCUUAUUUUUUUAUUUGUAAAUUUACACAUGAUAUAAAUAAAAAAAUAUUAUGUAUUUUUUAAUAUUUAAAUGGAUUUUUAUUUAUUUUAAACUGUUUAUUUAUUUUGAGACCCACUUCUAUCUCUCUUUCUUUAUUUGAUUUUUGUUCUUUUCUAAACCUUCUUAAUUUUAGCAGUGUUAUGGCACAUACAAAAAAUAAAUUUAAAUUAAAAUUUAAAUUUAUGAUUAAUGGAAUUUUGGAAUUUAUUGCUUAGCUUCUAUAUUAUUUAGUUAGUAUUUUUAUCGUUAAUUAUUGCUAAUUAAAUAUUAUAUUUUAAAAACAUUUUGUAGUGUUUUUAUAAUAAGUUUAUAAAUGAUAAUAAUAAUAAUAAUAAUAAUAAUAAUAAUAAUAAUGCUUUACUAUUUUCUUAUAUUUAAUUAAAUGUCCUUGUCCCUUUUGAACUACUCGACUUGGCUUAUAAGCAGUAGUUCCAGAGACUUGUUGUGGUUUGACCUUAGAUGCUUUGUCGCGGUCGCCCUCCAUUAAAUUGAUGAGUGGUCGACAAGGACUUCUGACCCCAUGUGAAUUUAGUAUCUUGUACUCGACUAGUUAGCUUUUUUAUUAGAUGCCGAGAGUAAUUUUCCAAAUUACUUUUCAAUUUAACGUACACGGAAAAGCUUUUGGCGCCCAUAUCCGAAUUCGCUGAAUUGGCAUAGGGCGUGAUUGGUUCCUCUAAAAUCACCUCUAAAAUUUUUUUUCGGUUGGAAAGUGAGAUUCCGAUGUUUGGUGGCUCGUCCGGAAAUUUUUUUUUACGGAUUCUUAGGAAAAGCAUGGUUUUCGUUUUCUAUUCGAAUCUAGCGGAAAACGAAAACGCACGGCGUUGCGCGGCGUAACGCCGCGCGGAGAAAAAGCACGGUCCACCAGGUCCGCUCCACCUCGUGGACUGCAUGAGGAAGGUCCAUGAUGGACCUUGUGCGCGGCUUUGCGCGCGCUUCGCGGGAGUAAAAAGGCGCAGUCCACGAGGUCCACUCCACCUCGUGGACCGCGUGAGGAGAGGUCCAUGAUGGACAUCUCUUUCUGCCCCUCUUAUAUAUAUAUAUAGAGAGAGAGAGAGAAAGAGUUGAGUUAGAAUACUCUCAAAAGCACUAAGAGAUUGGUGUUUUUGAGUUUUUAAUCAUUGGAUGGAGAGAUGUGAGGUUGGGAUGAUGGCGGUAGGUGAUGGUAGGUGAAAUAGUGUUUGAUCUAAAGGUUAUUAGUAAUUAAGAAGUGGAUCUGAGAGUUAAAAACUUAGAAGUACUAAGGGGUUGGUGAUUCUAAAAAUAUUUUAGCUCAAUUCUAUAUGUAUAUAUUAUUUAUAAGUAUUGUUUACAAAUUUAUUUUAUAGUAUUAUAUAUAUAUAUAUAUAUAUUUAAUAUAUACGCUAUUAUAUUAUAGAAUAAUUUCAUAGAUCCCUUCUAGAUACUCUAUUAAUUCACCAAUACCCUUCUUAAAAUUGAUAAACACAAAUACCCACCCUCCAAUAUGUUUUAAAAUAUCAUAAAUCCUCCUCAUCAGUUAAAAUCCGUUAAAUAAUCCAUCUGAAAAGAUUUAAAUUUUCAAAUCCAUUUUUCUUACUCCUUUAUUCCUUAUUAAUAGUAGAGGAAUACUAAUAUGUAUUUUCAAGAUAUUAUUGUAAAUCUAAAUUGAAUGUAUAUUAAUAUAUACAUAUUAAAAUAAAUUAUUAAUAUAUAUUUAAUUAUUAAAAAAAUAUAAAAAAUUAUAUUAUUAAUAUAGUAUGUUUUUAUCUGAUUUUGUUUUGUUUUUAAGUUUUGGAAUUUCGUCAGGUUUCAGUAGUAAUAGUAAUUUUGAAUAAAUUAUAAGAUUUUUUUUUUCCUAUUUAAUCAAAAGUAAAUCACCAUAACUAUUAUCAAGCAUUGUUCCGUGAUUGAAACAAAAAGAAGUUUUGUCAAAAAAGCUAAAUAUAUAUUUAUAUUAGUUUUUUAAUUGAUUUAAUGCAGAUAAAAUUAUCCAAUAUUUGAUUAAAAAAAAUUUUAAGCUUCAACAUUAAAGAAAUAUCGGAUAAUUUCCAUAACAUAUUUUAUUAAAUUUUAUAUAUUAAUUAUUUAUUCGACAAAUAUAAAUAAGCCACUAAUUGUUAAAAUUAUCAAAAAAACUACAAACUCUCAUUUUUCAUACACUGAAAUUAGUUAUAUCUUUUAAAAAACUAAAAGCUAAUGGGAAUAUUCAAACUGAAAAAAAAAAAUAAAGUUAAGAGCCAUAUUUGAAAAUGGCAUAUAGUUGAGGGGUCUCCAUACAUUUUAACUUAAGAAAAUACUUAGGGUAAAUAAGUCAUUUAAAAUUAACCUUAUUUUAAACAUUAAUAUCUAUGGUAAAGCUAACAUAACUAAUAUAAGGUGGUAUUGAUAUAAUUUUUGUGUUUAAAGGAAAUGGGUGAUAUUUUAAAUUUUAUAGGGGCAUCUAUGAUAUUUUAGACUUUGGGAGGGGUAUCCAUGAAAUUGCCCCAUUAUUAUAUUAUAUACUUAUUGUAUAAUAUAUUUUAAAUAUAUUUUAUUUACAAAUAUAAAUUAUAAUAUUAAUAUAUAAUAAUAUAUAAAAUAAAAAAAAUAUAUAUAUAUAUAAUAAUUUUUUAUUUAUAAUUAAUUUUUUCUUUCUUUUUCUUUCUUUUCCUUUCAACCAAACAACCGUAAUAGAAAAUUACUUUUUUUUCCUACAAACCAAAUACUAAGAGCGUAAAAUUAUUUUCCUCUGAAAACUUUUUUUCUACCGAAAAUUUUUUUUUCUGCAGUUUUACGAGGAAGCAAACAACCCCAUACCCAUAGAAUAUUAUUACUGUGAGAGUGCGUUUGGUUCGCGUGGUAUAACAUUAUGAAUUAUUUCGUCAUAAUUAAGUAUCUGAAAAUUUUGAAUCAGAUUACUAUUAGUACUGUAUUAUAGUCUUUGGUUUAAGGCAGUAAUAUAAUACUGGAUUGGAGUGUAUAUAAAAUUACUAUAUUUAAUUUGGUUUAUAAAAUUUAAUAAUUUUAAUAAUAAAAUAUAAUCAUCAUACAGUCUGUUCCUAGCGCAAGUAGCAAAUGACUUGAUGAUUGGCACCUAAGGUUCCAAACUUGAAUUUUUAUUGAUUCACAUUUUUAGCUAAAUUUAUUAUUUUAAAAAAUAAAUGAGCUACCCUUCUACCCUUCUCUCUCAAAAACAAAAUAUAGUCAUCCUACAAAAAGGACAUAAAUAUAGACAUCUACAAAAAGGACAUAUUGAAGGAGUUUAAGAGAGAUUGGAGGAAUAAAUUUAUAAUUUUAUGUAAUAUACAGUAAUCUAGUAUCAUUUUUAAGAUUACACUACCGACCAGAUUACAGACUGAACAAACCAAAUGCAAUAAUUUUGAUAGAAUUACUUAUAAUUAUGCAGGAUAAACUGAACCAAACACGCCCUAGGAUAAUCUUACACUGUGAUGCACCUUACUUUUUCUUAAAAAAAAAAACUUAGUAGUUACCCAACUAGCACCAUAUUCAGUUGUUCGUGAGGUUUAAAUUUUUUCAACCCUUAUCGUCUGUUCCUCCUGUAAGUGGCAAAGAGUUUAGAGGUUGGUAUCCGAAAUCUCAAGUUUAAAUCAUGGUUGAUUUACAUUUCCAAUUAAAUUUAUUUUUUUAAAACGAAACAAGUAACAUGCUAUUUUUCUCUCUCAAAAAAAAAAAGAGAAAGAGUUCAACCCUUUUUCAAAAACUCUUUGUUCUCGUAAGCAAGCUCUACUCUUGAUAGAAUACCUAAAUAUUUUUUCUUUCUUCAGACAAACGAAAAAAAAACAAAAGAAAAAAGGCAUUGAAAGUAGUGGGUUUACUUAACUUGCUCACCGAUCGACCAAACACAAACCUACUGAAACCGACCCAGCAUGACCGCAACAGGAGAUGGGCGAACCCGACACGCCACUCUGGUCUGGGUCCGGCCCACUCCCACCACCCUACCUAUGAUAUGAUUGUAGUUAAAUAUUUUUUUUUUUUUUUUUUUUAAAACAAACAUAUGUUGCUGCUGUGGACGUUACAACACAGAUCAGUAAUCUGAGAUGGAAACGAGUCAACCGAAAAAACAGCUUCUCUCCUAAACUCUUUUAUUAAGUUAUUGUAUAGCCUUGCUUCUAGCUUUCUUUGCUUUUACUUCACUGUUUCAGCUAUUACUAGAGUUAGACGAUUUUUAAUAAAAAAUAAAAUAACUAGACUUUAAACUUAAAAUUUUGAAUACCAACUAUUAAAUUUUUGUUGCUGUAGAGUUGGAGGCGUUUUUGAAACCAUAAUUCAAACAACAAUACAAGUGCACUGGCUCAUCGCGCCCGCGUAUAUAUACUCUUAUGCCUGGUCUGGUAAUACAAUAGCUAAAAAUAUCUACUUUUAUAGUUUAAAAGACUCCACAAGAUUUAAAAGAUUGUAAUCUUUCCUCCUGCAAUACAUAAUUUUUUAAUUUUUAUUUUUUAAAUGUAAAAGCAGAUAAUCGAAAAAAACUUAAUCCCAAACUAAGCAGGUGAUUUUUCAUAAUAUAUAAGUGGGCCCUACAUGCAACAUUAAAUGUAUGCAAUUAAUAAUUAAUUAAUAUAUGGACCUCAAUGAUUCAAAACCACUCCCACCUUCUCUCACUGCUCCAAGGUACCAAAAUUGCAUUAAAUAAUGACGCCAAAAAGUACCAGAAUAAAUGCUUCUUUUUUUAAAAAAAAGAAAAGGCCAAAAUUUCAAAUUCUAAAUUGAUUGGUGAUUCCCGUGACCGUAGUCAAGUAAGAUAUAUUUAUUAAUUAAUUAAUUAAUUCAAAAUAUCUGAAAAAAAUCCAAUCAAAACUAUACAAAUAGUAAAAACUAAUGGUAAGAAAAAGUAGGAAUGUGCUUCGAAUUUAAAAUCGUUUCAAAAUCCAAAGAAUCUCAUCUCAUCCCCUCCACAUUUCCCAGAUCUCGAUCCGGGAACCAAACCCCUAGAUUUCGCCCCGUCGCCCCCAAUCCCGGGGCACAGAAACCCUAAAUCUUAGUGAAAUUGAGCACGGAUCGGGAGGAGGAGGGUGGGGCUUACGAUUACAUGGGGGGCGGAGCGUGGGCGAGGCCAUGGGCGGAGGGGUCGAGGUGGAGCGCGUCCUUGAUCUUGUGGAAGCCAUGGGCGAAGACGCCGAAGCCGAAGACGAAGCCCACGAGGAUGAUGCCGACGACGACGAGGAGGCAGAGGCAACACGAUCGGCUCGGGAAGCAGCACAUCUCCACCGUCCGCUCGAUCUCCCCCACCUCCGCCCAGCACGAAUCACGACGCGCACGAAGAGAGAGAGAGAGAGAGCGAGAGAGAGAGAGGGAGAGAGAGAAUAUUCGUUGUAUCGGUUAUAAACUUUUAAUCACAGGUUCUCGAGAUCUGUAUAUAUAAUAACGUGGAACGAUAGCUGUAACGUGGAACGAUGGGUCUGUACGGGUGCGUGUAUAAUUGUUUAUAUAUGCGGGGGCGAUGCGUUGGCCGUUGGAUUGGAUGUCGUUGAUGAGAUUCGGAUGCGAUUGUCGUAGAAUGGACGGUGGAUUAGGUAUUAUGUAAAAAGAGCAUUGAGAUGGUUUGAAGGGUGGGAGGAGUUGGUAAACAAUACUAUGGGACGCCGUAAAGGCCCACGAAAAACUCUGAAAAAAUUGUCCCUGCACCAGGUGUAUCGUACAUACCAUACACUAGCCUCAUUAAUGUUUAAUAAUUUUAUAUCUUUAAUUUAAAAACUAAAACCCAAGUUUGGUACGACAUAUAUCACCUACAAGAUCGAAUUAGUUUAUACGUGAUAAUUUCUUAUUUUUUAGAAAGAAAAAAAAAACUGUUAUCUGUGUGUUAUAUAAUUUUAGAAAUUUAUAAUAUAUAAAAAAAAACUUUUAUGCAAUUUAAAUAGAUCGAAAUUUUGAAAUUGCCUUCAAUUGAUCAAAAUAGAUAUUUUCUUUUGUUGGGUGUAAAAGAUAGCUUGCUAUCAUUUUAUACAGCAGGAAGAUUAACUAAGUUAUAUCACUGAGGCCACAAGGCCUCAGAAAGAAGAGAGAGCAAAGGCAAGACAAAAAGUAAAGCUAGCAAACAAGUAGCACAAUAAAAUACGACCUACAUAAGAUCUACUUAAUCUGGCACUCUUUCCAACUAUUUGUGCACGAUCUAGCCUCAAACAUAAGUUGACUCGAGUUAGUUUUGCUUUGCACCUGCAAACAUUCUAAUAGAAGUUUAGUAGUCUCGCAUUCAAUAAAUAGAUAAUUGAUUGCCUCUAAAUCUCCCUAGCAUAAUAUGCACCCUGCUCCCCCUGCUGUCCUUAGAGCAAGUGACAAAGGAUUUGGUUGUUGGUACCUGAGAUUCAAGUCCGAAUCCUAGUUGAUUCACAUUUCUAGCUAAAUUUAUUUCUAAAUGAAAUAAACGAAGCAGGUAGCGUGCUACCUAUCUCUCUCAAAAAAAAAAAAGAAAAAAAAAAGAGAGUUAGCGAGGCAAAAAUUUCAACUUUUAGCAGCUCAAAGAAUGUAGGAGAAAAAACUGAUAGUUCUUUAUUAAAAUCACAUGCCCAGACAUAUUCCACCUUAAUAAUAGGACCAAAUUUUUUGAACUAAUAUUCAAAAAUUUAUUACUCACAACUAAAGCCGACGUCAACAAUUCAAUGGUCUAUUUAAGCUCUUUAUUGCAAAUAAACACCUUAAAUUUGAUGUAAUAUCGAUCAAAGAUGAAUCACUUAUUUUAGUUCAAAAUAUCAAUCAAAUUCAUAUUUUUGGAUAUUCAAAAAAAAACAUUUACAUGCUAGCUUGGUUUGUUAAUAAGUUUAAAUUUUUCUGAUAAAAAUGAAAUAAUCCGUUACCGUUUGUAUCCUUUUGUUCUAUUUUGGUUGUUGUCAUGAUGAUUGUUCAUUUUACUCCCAUUCAGUUUUAAUGGAGAUUUCAAUUUUGGUUCGAUGUAAUUAGUCUCAUUAGUUUGAGUAAUAUACAUUUCCCAUCAAAACUUAGUGAAAAUUUUUGACCAACUAUUUUUUUAACAUGACAAGACAUUUUUAUACUCAAUGAAAUAUUAUAAAGUAAAAUCAAUAUUUUAUUUAAUUUAGAUAUAUUUCAAAAAUAUAUAACGAUAUUUUGCUUCUGUUCCAUACUUAACCUUCAAAUCCUUUAAGGGCAUGUUUGUUUUCAUGUAAAUAGACUUGGGUGGAAGUGGACUUUGGAUUGAAGUAGAGUUGGGGUGAAAUUUAAUUCACUUCUGCUGUUUGUUCUUAACUGUAAAAGUGCAGUUCUGCGAGUUCUGUUGUUUAUUUGGUAGGAAAUAGAUAACGUAAAAAGUGUAGCUCUCCACCCUCUGUAUACUUUCCUCCGAAGUGAUAUAAUUCUCAAUUUUAUAACUAAGUGAAUAAUAAAUUAUAAUAAAUAAAAAUUAAUAUAAUUAUAUAUUUAUAUAAUUAUAUAUAUGUAUAAUUAUAAAAUAAAAUUUUAAAAAAUUAUAUUAUUUGUUUGCAUAUAAAUUAUAAUGAUACAACAAAUAAAAUUCUAAAGUUAAAAAAUUAUUAACAUUUAACAAAUUAAAUUUUCAUCAUUUUCUAAAUAUACAAAUUAAACAAAAAAAUAUAUUAAAACUUACCUAACCAAAUUUGAUCAUAUUUAAGACAUAUAAUCAAAAUAAAAAAUUUUAAUUACUUCCACAAUUGAAUAUAUUUGGAUGAAAUGAAACUAGUAUUGUUCAAAAUAUCACACCCAAAAUAACAAAAUAUAUUGUGCAUAUNCAAAAUAUCACACCCAAAAUAACAAAAUAUAUUGUGCAUAUCAUUAUCACACCAAAAAUAAUAAUAUCACAUCCAAAAUGUAUGGUUACGUCCAUACCAGAAUUUUUUUUUUUUUUUUUUAUGGUGUCUGUUGAGAAAAAAAAAUGGCGAUGUGGAGUUGGAUCUGGGACUCGGCAGAGGAAAGGGUAGAAAAGAGGAUAACCCUAACACAUCAAUUCCCACUCUUGCCUCUUUUCACCUCACCGAAAUUGACUUCGCCUCAUGGGAAGAAGAAGUCAAUUUCAUUAUUUUGGAUGAACUAGACUUUCGGGCGUAAUAAAAUUACGGUAAACCAAACAACGGAAGUGGUCAAUUUUUACCGAAAAUUACUUUCCCCUUCCCACUUCCACCCCACUUCAGUGCAAACAAAUAUAUCCUAAGUAACUGGAUCUAGAUCCUAAUUUCCAUAUUGAUCCCCAAUACGAAUCCAAUGUAUCAGGUGAGUCAAACUUAGCUCAAGAAAUUAGCACACACGACACACCUAAAUGGGAAUUUAAAGUCUUUCUAUUGAUCUCGGUGGCAACGUUGACGCUCGGAUAGAUGUGAUUGUAAUUUGACUUUAAAAUGAAACUAGUAAAAAAUACACCUAAUUGUGGCCUAUGUUUCUAUUCAUUUCAUUUACGACAAUUUCGAACCUUACCAAGUCAAAGCUGUUUUAAAUAAAAUAGUUGUAAACUUAAAUUAUGGCUAAAUUACGAUUAGUUUAACAUAAACGCGCGUGCUAAGUUACAUGUUUUCAUCCAAUGAAUUAAUCAAAAAGCUAAAACCAUACUGGGAUCCGAAUGAUGUUAAUUGGUACUUUAUUAAAGAAACUUUAUUAGCUUUAUUGCUUCCUUAAAAAUUUUCCCAUCCAAUAAAAUGUUCUUCUUUAAGCUUCUUUUGUUUAGCUCUGACCCUUAUUUAUAGCUGUGCUUUGUCCUUUUUAACUCUUCUUUAAUUCUCACAACAUAUAUAAUAGGGAUAAUUAUCUAUAUACCCCACAUACGUUUGAAAAUAUCCGAUUUAUCCGUACUUUCUUUUUCUUUCUAAAAUAACUCCUCAUAUGUUCCACCGUUAUUGCAAAAUACCCCCGCAGUUAUCUCUUGUUAAGUUAAGUUGGAUUAAACGUGAGUUAAAUAUCUACCACAGUUUAAAAAAAUUAAAAUGCCAAUUUUGCUAUUAACUUAAGAGCAAAUAAGAAAUGUUGGUGUAUAUUGAAAAAGACCAAAAAUCAAAAUACUUUUUGUGUCCCUGACUUUAAGGGCGAAUAAGAAAGUCAGUGAUGGUGGAAGGGUAUAUUUGAAAGACAAAAUAGUAAUUUUACAGAGAUAACAGAGUUAAUUAAUAAAUUUUAACUCUAGGGAUAUAUUAGAAAUAAGUUGUAACGUAAAAAGAAUAUUUUUAAUAUUAGCCUUCUAAGAUGGGUAAAUCGAAAAGUCGAGAACUUUUUAGGGGUACGUAAGCAAUUGCCCUAUAUAAUAUUAUAUCAAUCAAACUUAUAAGCCU